Dromaius novaehollandiae (emu) is the source of this 447-nucleotide long non-coding RNA. RefSeq lists it as uncharacterized. NCBI's taxonomy places the organism in Eukaryota, Metazoa, Chordata, Aves, Casuariiformes, Dromaiidae. The record is from RefSeq and is a predicted model, not a curated record. The transcript is spliced from 3 exons.
UGUGGAGUCCUGUGUGCUUCCCACAGUCGUUCACAACGGCAGAACUGACACGUUGGAUGUGGCACCUACUGAAGAGCCAUCGUUGCUUGUUUACUAUAAUACAGUGAAACACCAAUGCAAUAAUCAAAAUGGAAUAAGAGAUUUGCAGGCUGGAACACCACUUGGUUUAAUGGCUUAUUUAUAUUCUAGAAAUGCAUUUUUGGAAGGUUACGUACAGCAGUUUCUCUACACUUUUCGUUAUUUCUGCACACAAGAAGAGUUUUUGCAGUUUCUUCUUGAAAGAAUCAGCAGCACUUUAUCCAGUGCAAGUCUGGACCCUUCCACAUCAUUUACCAAAAUAUGUAAUCGCAGUUUCUACAUCCUGCAGGCUUGGAUUGAAGACUGCUACAGUGUAGACUUUGCAACAAAUACUGAUCUUUUGUAUACUCUGAAAGAGUUUAUUUCUUC